CCUANGGGCGGCAGCAGUGGGGAAUAUUGCGCAAUGGGCGAAAGCCUGACGCAGCCAUGCCGCGUGUGUGAAGAAGGCCUUCGGGUUGUAAAGCACUUUCAGUGGGGAGGAAAGGGCGCUGGCUAAUAUCCAGCGCAGUUGACGCUACCCACAGAAGAAGCACCGGCUAAUUCCGUGCCAGCAGCCGCGGUAAUACGGAAGGUGCGAGCGUUAAUCGGAAUUACUGGGCGUAAAGCGCGCGUAGGCGGCUUGGUAAGUCGGAUGUGAAAGCCCCGGGCUCAACCUGGGAACUGCAUUCGAUACUGCCGGGCUAGAGUACGAAAGAGGGGGGUGGAAUUCCUGGUGUAGCGGUGAAAUGCGUAGAUAUCAGGAGGAACACCGGUGGCGAAGGCGUCCAUCUGGCCCAAUACUGACGCUGAGGCGCGAAAGCUAGGGGAGCGAACGGGAUUAGAUACCCCGNUANUC
This 465-nucleotide ribosomal RNA is filed under the name uncultured bacterium. Its description in RNAcentral is "bacterial SSU rRNA". It matches the Rfam family "Bacterial small subunit ribosomal RNA", at positions 338 to 795 of the family's 1533-position model. The record is from RNAcentral.